This 497-nucleotide ribosomal RNA is filed under the name uncultured bacterium. Its description in RNAcentral is "partial 16S ribosomal RNA". It matches the Rfam family "Bacterial small subunit ribosomal RNA", at positions 28 to 507 of the family's 1533-position model. The record is from RNAcentral.
GAUGAACGCUGGCGGCGUGCCUAAUACAUGCAAGUCGAGCGAACAGACGAGGAUCUUGCUCCUCUGACGUUAGCGGCGGACGGGUGAGUAACACGUGUAUAACCUACCUAUAAGACUGGUAUAACUUCGGGACACCGGAGCUAAUACGGUAUAAUAUAUUGAACCACAUGGUUCAUUGGUAAAAUACGGUUUUUCUGUCACUUAUAGAGGGAUCUCCGCUGCUUUAGCUAGUUGUUAAGUUCACGGCUUACCAAGGCUACGAGGCGUAGCCGAACUGAGAGGGUGAUAGGCGACAUGGGAGCGGAGACAGGGUCCAGGGUACUGAGAGAGGCAGCAGUCGGGAAUGGUAGGCAAUGGGCGAAAGCAUGACGGAGCAAGGCGGCGUGAGAGACAAAGGUGUUGGGAUCGUAAAGACCUCUUAUUAGGGAAGAACCAAUGUGUACGUAAAUAUGGACGUAUUGACGGUACCUAAUAAGAAAGCAACGGCUAACUACGUG